This 127-nucleotide small RNA is filed under the name Marmota monax (woodchuck). The record is from RNAcentral. Lineage: Eukaryota; Metazoa; Chordata; Mammalia; Rodentia; Sciuridae.
GCUGGGCAUGGUAGCAUCUGCCUGUAAUCCCACCAGCUUGGGAGGCUGAGGCAGGAGGAUCCCUAGUUCAAAGCCAGCUUCAGCAAUUUAGCAAGGUCUUAAGCAGCUCAGUGAGACCCUGUCUCUA